This 400-nucleotide unclassified non-coding RNA is filed under the name soil metagenome. Its description in RNAcentral is "partial contains 5.8S ribosomal RNA, internal transcribed spacer 2, and large subunit ribosomal RNA". The stretch from base 1 to 122 matches the Rfam family "5.8S ribosomal RNA", at positions 35 to 154 of the family's 154-position model. The record is from RNAcentral.
GAUGAAGAACGUAGCGAAAUGCGAUACUUGGUGUGAAUUGCAGAAUCCCGUGAACCAUCGAGUCUUUGAACGCAAGUUGCGCCUCAAGCCAUUAGGUUGAGGGCACGUCUGCCUGGGCGUCACAUAUCGUUGCCUGAUGCCAGUUUCCUCGUGAUGGGUGACUGUGCAGGGCGAAUGAUGGCUUCCCGUGAGCAUUGUUGCCUCAUGGUUGGUUGAAAAUUGAGUCCUUGGUAGGGAGCGCCGUGAUAGAUGGUGGUUGAGUGACGAACGAGACCCAAUCAUGUGAGACCCCUACCGAAUUUGGCCUUCAUGACCCACAUGCGUCUUUGGAACGCUCAUGACGAGACCUCAGGUCAGGCGGGGCUAUCCGCUGAGUUUAAGCAUAUCAAUAAGCGGAGGA